RNAcentral lists this ribosomal RNA (492 nucleotides) under uncultured bacterium. RNAcentral's name for it is "partial 16S ribosomal RNA". It matches the Rfam family "Bacterial small subunit ribosomal RNA", at positions 28 to 507 of the family's 1533-position model. The record is from RNAcentral.
GAUGAACGCUAGCUACAGGCUUAACACAUGCAAGUCGAGGGGAAACGGCAUUAAGUGCUUGCACUUUUUGGACGUCGACCGGCGCACGGGUGAGUAACGCGUAUCCAACCUUCCCAUGACUAAGGGAUAACCUGCCGAAAGGCAGACUAAUACCUUAUGGUCCUCACUGACGGCAUCAGAUGUGAAGUAAAGAUUUAUCGGUUAUGGAUGGGGAUGCGUCUGAUUAGCUUGUUGGCGGGGUAACGGCCCACCAAGGCAACGAUCAGUAGGGGUUCUGAGAGGAAGGUCCCCCACAUUGGAACUGAGACACGGUCCAAACUCCUACGGGAGGCAGCAGUGAGGAAUAUUGGUCAAUGGGCGAGAGCCUGAACCAGCCAAGUAGCGUGCAGGAUGACGGCCCUAUGGGUUGUAAACUGCUUUUGUAUGGGGAUAAAGUCAAUCACGUGUGAUUGUUUGCAGGUACCAUACGAAUAAGGACCGGCUAAUUCCGUG